UCUUUGAUUUAGUCAUCAGGAAAAGUUCCCUUAAUCAGCUUUGCUUUACCUUAACUGGGAAAUUUGUUUCAGUUUACAGGGGUUACGUGCUGCCUGGUGAAGUUCAUGUCUGAGCAACCCCUCUUCUGAAGGAAACUCCAAAAAAACAGUUGGUUUCUGGCAGCUGCCCCUUUAUGAAGUUGUGCCUUCUGGGUCAGAGAUGAAAGGAGCUGGCUGUAACCCUGUGCAACUGAAACCCUUUUUCCGAAGGCUUUAGCAGACCAAGCUGCUGAUGGAACUGAAAGGAAAAAAUGAUAU
RNAcentral lists this long non-coding RNA (297 nucleotides) under Cyanistes caeruleus (blue tit). RNAcentral's name for it is "lncRNA (ENSCCEG00000022036.1)". The record is from RNAcentral. Lineage: Eukaryota; Metazoa; Chordata; Aves; Passeriformes; Paridae.